GGGGAUGUAGCUCAGUGGUAGAGUGUUUGCUCAUCAAGUGUGAGGCCCUGGGUUUGAUCCCCAGCACUGCUA
RNAcentral lists this transfer RNA (72 nucleotides) under Ictidomys tridecemlineatus (thirteen-lined ground squirrel). Its description in RNAcentral is "Spermophilus tridecemlineatus (thirteen-lined ground squirrel) tRNA". It matches the Rfam family "tRNA". From Rfam's summary of the family: Transfer RNA (tRNA) molecules are approximately 80 nucleotides in length. Lineage: Eukaryota; Metazoa; Chordata; Mammalia; Rodentia; Sciuridae. RNAcentral also lists the same sequence under 1 other name. The record is from Rfam by way of RNAcentral.